RNAcentral lists this long non-coding RNA (656 nucleotides) under Homo sapiens (human). RNAcentral describes it as "long independently transcribed non-coding RNA 2308 (LINC02308)". The record is from RNAcentral. Lineage: Eukaryota; Metazoa; Chordata; Mammalia; Primates; Hominidae.
CUUGGAGUUUUCUGGGAGAGGCCUCUUCAAGGGCGUCCUUGAAGCCCAGCCAUGGAUGUCCCUGUGGUUGGGAAAGGGGAGCUCAGGGUAAUGGAGUAUCCUCAAGAACCUGCAGAUAUUACCUCCCUCCAGAACCGUGGUCUCAGCCCUGGCUGCAUAUUCCUUCAACGGGAGGGCUUUAGAAAUGCUGUGCCAGAGCUGCACCCCAGACCAACAAAAUCAGACUCUCCAGGAUGCGGCCAAGGCAUCAGUAUGUGGAAAGCUUUCAGGAAAACUGAGCAAAAUGAAAGCCAAUUCAAAGAAGAAGGAAUUAAGUACAUAAUUGUGCAGAUGAUACAUGGAAAUGGUAAGAAUGGUGACAAUGGGACGUAAGUGACUGAAAUUUGGGAUACAUUGGAUUAGAAGAAAAUAAGCCCCCAAGAAACCGGAAUAAGUCUGGAGGGCAGCAAGAGUGACUGUCCAGCUAAGAACCUCAUCAGCAAUACAAAACAUUGUCACAGAUGUUGAAACAGACCCUGAGGUUAAUGCAUUCUUUCCAACAUUAGGUCCUAAAACUUCUCCUGAAAAGCUACCUUAAAUCUAACUUUUGAAAGUGCACAAUAAAGGUGAAUUAAAUAAAAGCAACUUGAAAUUUUUAAAAAAAAAAAAAAAAAAAA